UUUAUACCUAGUAAUCCUUGUCGAGUGUACAUAGAAAUAGUUCAGAAAAAGGAUUACGAGUUCUUGUGAAAAAUACAAUAAUAUAUUGUUCAUUUCUUUCAAGACUCUUUGGAAAUAAAGUACUCAGUUUUCAGUGGUUAAAAUUUCUUAUAUUUUUUUCUUUCUUGCGAUUGAACUAGAGAAAAAUAUGCUGAUAAAAGACAAGGUCGAUCAGCGGAAUAAAGUUAUAACUUUGUGAAAACUACUCCAUCUUCUCUCUAGAACUUUUUUAAAAGCGAACAUUGUUCGUCGGUGGCCGGUGGCUUCUGCCGCCGGUUACCAUCCCUCUCUUUUGUCGUUUUGAUGUGUAUAUUCAAUUUGAUGAUUGAUCUUUUCUUCCGGUUGCGGACUUUUACUUUCGCUAGGCGACUUUUGGUGUGUUUAGGGUCAAUUGAACAGAGCAGUUUAUCAAUCCAUUUGUUUCUCUGAUUCGUUUUGUCCCUAAAAUAAAGAUCCGAUCUUUUGGAUUGGUUUAGGUCUUCCUCUCUUUGAAUUCAUAUUCCAGUUGUUUCCAUAAAUCUUCUUCUUAUUUGUUGGUCAUCUUCAAACUUUAUUCUCUGGCGAUAUCAAUCUUUGCUGUAUACAUCUUUGGCAAAGUAUUCUUAGGAGGUAAAGAUUUGUGCUUUGCUUAUUCACUUCACGAUUUAAGCCGGCCUAAGAAGAGUCAAAGCUUGCUAGUUUGCAAGUGUUUUGGCGAUGGUGGUCUAUAAAUCAAUUAAAGUUUCUGGGAGAGUUUCACAUCCGACAAGGAGAUUGGAGAUGCUUGGUAGCAGAGGCGCAUGGAAGGUGAAGCGAAAUUCGAGAUCGGGAAGAGACCAGUUCGUCAUGUUGAGGUACCAAAACUGGGCAUAGAUUGACACUGAAUUUAAAUUCAAGACGGAGAGGCAUUGCAACGGUGAUCCAGCGAUGGAGCAGCAGCGGAGGUUGCAACCUUUGCAUGAAGUCCACGUGUCCCUGGGAAACCCUAAUAUCAAACACGUGUCUUACAUAAAUACAAUUUUAAAGCGAGGACAACCGUUGUUGCUGUCCAGCCUGCCAUUAAUGUUAAUGUCUUCUUAACUAUUAGUACUCUCUUCAUUUCUGAAAGAAUAAUUUUUCAGAGUAUAAUGUUUGUGUUUAAAAAAAAGAGAGUAUAAUGUUUACAAUCAAAUUUAUUAUUUACUAGGGCAUGUCCGCGCUUCGCGCGGAAUAUUGUUUUAUUGUUGUUAAUUAUUAUUUUUCGGAUGAUAUAGCUAGCUAAUUAUGUGAUCGUCUUUAUUUGCUAAGAACAUUAUUUGGUAUUUUUAUUAUGUUAUGUAGUAAUAG
RNAcentral lists this long non-coding RNA (1344 nucleotides) under Brassica napus (rape). RNAcentral describes it as "long non-coding RNA (BNAP_LNC010436)". The record is from RNAcentral. Lineage: Eukaryota; Viridiplantae; Streptophyta; Magnoliopsida; Brassicales; Brassicaceae.